RNAcentral lists this ribosomal RNA (512 nucleotides) under uncultured bacterium. RNAcentral's name for it is "partial 16S ribosomal RNA". The record is from RNAcentral.
GGAGUUAGCCGGUGCUUCUUCUGCGAGUAACGUCACAGAUGUAAGGUAUUAACUUACACCCUUUCCUCCUCGCUGAAAGUGCUUUACAACCCGAAGGCCUUCUUCACACACGCGGCAUGGCUGCAUCAGGGUUUCCCCCAUUGUGCAAUAUUCCCCACUGCUGCCUCCCGUAGGAGUCUGGGCCGUGUCUCAGUCCCAGUGUGGCUGAUCAUCCUCUCAGACCAGCUAGGGAUCGUCGCCUAGGUGAGCCUUUACCUCACCUACUAGCUAAUCCCACCUGGGCUUAUCCAUCAGCGCAAGGCCCGAAGGUCCCCUGCUUUCCCCCGUAGGGCGUAUGCGGUAUUAGCAGUCGUUUCCAACUGUUAUCCCCCACAAAUGGGCAAAUUCCCAGGCAUUACUCACCCGUCCGCCGCUCGUCAUCUUCAAAAGCAAGCUUUUAGAAAUGUUACCGCUCGACUUGCAUGUGUUAGGCCUGCCGCCAGCGUUCAAUCUGAGCCAUAAUCAAACUCUGA